Molecule: ribosomal RNA, 814 nt
Filed under: uncultured Bacillota bacterium
Lineage: Bacteria; Bacillati; Bacillota
Description: bacterial SSU rRNA
Rfam family: Bacterial small subunit ribosomal RNA
Source: RNAcentral
CAAGUCGAACGCGAAAGUGGAGCAAUCCAUGAGUAGAGUGGCAAACGGGUGAGUAACACGUGGGUGACCUGCCUUCGAGCGGGGGAUAACGUCCCGAAAGGGACGCUAAUACCGCAUGACAUCCUGUCUUUUAAGAGAUGGAGAUCAAAGCCGGGGAUCGCAAGACCUGGCACUCGAAGAGGGGCCCGCGCCUGAUUAGCUAGUUGGUGGGGUAACGGCUCACCAAGGCAACGAUCAGUAUCCGGCCUGAGAGGGCGGACGGACACACUGGGACUGAGACACGGCCCAGACUCCUACGGGAGGCAGCAGUGGGGAAUUGUUCGCAAUGGGCGCAAGCCUGACGACGCAACGCCGCGUGGAGGAUGAAGAUCCUCGGGUCGUAAACUCCUUUCGAUCGAGACGAAUUUUCUUGGGGUAAAUAAUCCCGAGAAGUGACGGUACCGAGAGAAGAAGCCCCGGCUAACUCCGUGCCAGCAGCCGCGGUAAUACGGGGGGGGCAAGCGUUGUUCGGAAUUACUUGGCGUAAAGGGCUCGUAGGUGGCCAACUAAGUCGGACGUGAAAUCCCUCGGCUUAACCGGGGAACUGCGUCCGAUACUGGAUGGCUUGAGUUUGGGAGAGGGAUGCGGAAUUCCAGGUGUAGCGGUGAAAUGCGUAGAUAUCUGGAGGAACACCGGUGGCGAAGGCGGCAUCCUGGACCAACACUGACACUGAGGAGCGAAAGCCAGGGGAGCAAACGGGAUUAGAUACCCCGGUAGUCCUGGCCCUAAACGAUGAAUGCUUGGUGUGGCGGGUAUCGAUCCCUGCCGUGCCGAA